AGAGCAGAUACAGUUCUCAGCAGCUUAAUCAGGUCUUAUAUCUAUAUUGUAUCUGCUUAGGCCAAACGACCAACACCAUCACGGUAUAACUGAUUCCACUAGUGUAACAAAUAGCUCAAAUUAAUUAAUCUGUAAUUAGUGUUCCCUCCGGUAUGAGAAACUUUUCCAUGCAUGAAUCAUGUCCCUUGAUCUGUCUUAAGCAGAUAAUGAUUUUAGAAAUGUUGUUUAUUUCCAACUCGUACUGUGUGAGUAAAAGUGACGUAAAGCCAACGUUUACUUUGUAUGUGCUCUCACUAUACGUGUAAAUAGAAAAUAAAACUGAUCAUCACCCCUACCGGCCCAUUGUGGUUUUUGACAAUUGUCAAUAAAGAUUUGUUUGAAACCUCAGAGGCAGGUAGAAGUUUGUUUACUAGCAAUGAUGGUAACAAGGCAUAAAUGCUGCCUUGAUCAUCUGAGCCAUCCUGUGUGCCGAAAGUUGUUUAGAGAAAGGAAGAUGUGGACAGUAUGGAGCGUCCAUUUUGCAAAGAGAAUUGGAGUAUGAGGAGAGAGCUAAAACCAGAAGCAAAGGAAAAAAAGAGGACAUGUGGAGCGGGAGAGAUUGAUGGACCUCGGAGGGGAGAGAAUUCAGUUCCUGAAAGACUUUUGAGAAAAGCAUGCUUGUUUCCAUUCUAGGCUGAAGGGAACAUUUCAGAAGAUUACAUUUACAGUUGAGAAGAUUACAGCCAUGGUGUGACUGUAAAUCAAAAUGUGUAAGUUGAUAUAUUGUAAGCAAAAAAGAAAGAUUUUACAAAACCUUUUUAUUAAAGUGACAAUAUAUGCUGUAGUAUGCAAACAUAGUAAAGGAAAAUGCUUUUAGUUG
This is a long non-coding RNA of Micropterus salmoides (largemouth bass), 859 nucleotides long. RefSeq lists it as uncharacterized. NCBI's taxonomy places the organism in Eukaryota, Metazoa, Chordata, Actinopteri, Centrarchiformes, Centrarchidae. The transcript has 2 exons. The record is from RefSeq and is a predicted model, not a curated record.